CCUACGGGUGGCAGCAGUGGGGAAUAUUGCACAAUGGCCGAGAGGCUGAACCAGCCAAGUCGCGUGAGGGAAGAAUGUCCUAUGGAUCGUAAACCUCUUUUGCCCGGGAGCAACAUCACCCACGUGUGGGUGUUGGCGAGUACCUGCAGAAAAAGCAUCGGCUAACUCCGUGCCAGCAGCCGCGGUAAUACGGAGGAUGCGAGCGUUAUCCGGAUUUAUUGGGUUUAAAGGGUGCGUAGGCGGGUUAUCAAGUCAGCGGUAAAAUCGUGGAGCUCAACCCCAUCCAGCCGUUGAAACUGAUGACCUUGAGUUGGCGAGAAGUAUGCGGAAUGCGUGGUGUAGCGGUGAAAUGCAUAGAUAUCACGCAGAACUCCGAUUGCGAAGGCAGCAUACCGGCGCCCGACUGACGCUGAAGCACGAAAGCGUGGGUAUCGAACAGGAUUAGAUACCCGUGUAGUC
Molecule: ribosomal RNA, 459 nt
Filed under: uncultured bacterium
Lineage: Bacteria
Description: partial 16S ribosomal RNA
Rfam family: Bacterial small subunit ribosomal RNA
Source: RNAcentral